AUAUGCUUCUAUGGGGACUUAUUGGGAAAAAAUUGCCCUAUUCAACCGAUUGAGGCCGAGGUUGCGAAGAAUGGACCCGUGCUAAUAGAAAAGCAUGCUUUGUCACUUAUUAGUGAAAUUUCGGAUCAAGAGAUUAAAGGGGCCUUGUUUAGUAUUGAGGAUGAUAAAUCUUCGGGCUCGAAUGGAUAUACAUCUUGUUUUUUAGAAACGCUUGGAGUAUUGUUGGAUAUGAGUUUAAGAAGGCUAUCAAAGAGUUUUUCAACUCUUCUUCUCUCCUUGAACAAACAAGUCAUACAAUGCUUGCUUUGGUUCCUAAGAUAAAUCACUCAUCUUUCAUCGGAGACUAUAGGCCAAUUGCAUAUUGUAAUGUAGUCUACAAGGUCAUUACAAAGAUUCUUGCUUCUAGAAUGAGACCUAUUAUUGGAUCCAUUGUUGAUUUAGCCCAAGCGGCAUUUGUGAGGGGAAGAAGUAUGAUUGAAAAUAUUCACCUUGCACAAGAGCUUUUGAGACAAUACAAUCGGAAAAGAGUUGCCCCAGUAUGCCUUUUCAAAAUUUAUCUAAGGAAAGCAUAUGAUUCGGUGAAUUGAGAUUUUCUCAAAAGUGUACUUGAAGGUUUGGACUUUUAAACUAAGUUUAUUGGUUCAAUUAUGAAAUGCAUUUCUACCUUUACCAACCACAUUGUACUCAAUGGUACUCUACAGAGCUUCUUUAAAGUUAGAAAAGGGAUUAGACAAGGUGAUCCGUUAUCACCCCUUCUUGUGUUGUUCUUUGCCUUGAGAUUUUUUCGAGAAUGUUGAAAGCGGAUAUGACAAAAGUGAUUUCAUCUAUCACCCUAAAUGUGGUCCAUUAAAGAUCACACAUCUAGUUUUUGUUGAUGAUUUGAUACUCUUUGCUAGGGAUGAUUUUAUGUCGGUUAGAAUUUUGAUGAAUUGUCUUUCUAAGUUUGAGGAUGUAUAGGGACUUAGAAUGAAUGCUAGCAAAUCUAGCAUGUACACGGCGAGUAUUCAAUUCCAAGAAUUGGAGGAUAUUGUUGCAUUGACCAACAUUCCUAAAGGUUCUAUGUCGUUUCGAUAUUUGGGAAUUCUACUUGCAGUCGAGAAAUUAAAAAUCAGCUCAUAUGAAGUUCUACUUGAUGAAUUUUCAACUUACAUUUG
RNAcentral lists this long non-coding RNA (1154 nucleotides) under Olea europaea subsp. europaea. Lineage: Eukaryota; Viridiplantae; Streptophyta; Magnoliopsida; Lamiales; Oleaceae. The record is from RNAcentral.